Molecule: ribosomal RNA, 419 nt
Filed under: uncultured bacterium
Lineage: Bacteria
Description: bacterial SSU rRNA
Rfam family: Bacterial small subunit ribosomal RNA
Source: RNAcentral
AGAGUUUGAUCCUGGCUCAGGAUGAACGCUAGCUACAGGCUUAACACAUGCAAGUCGAGGGGCAGCGGGAUUGAAGCUUGCUUCAAUUGCCGGCGACCGGCGCACGGGUGAGUAACGCGUAUCCAACCUUCCGUACACUCAGGGAUAGCCUUUCGAAAGAAAGAUUAAUACCUGAUGGUAUGAUGAGAUUGCAUGAUAGCAUCAUUAAAGAUUUAUCGGUGUACGAUGGGGAUGCGUUCCAUUAGGUAGUAGGCGGGGUAACGGCCCACCUAGCCGACGAUGGAUAGGGGUUCUGAGAGGAAGGUCCCCCACAUUGGAACUGAGACACGGUCCAAACUCCUACGGGAGGCAGCGGUGAGGAAUAUUGGUCAAUGGACGAGAGUCUGAACCAGCCAAGUAGCGUGAAGGAUGAAGGUCCU